This 1529-nucleotide ribosomal RNA is filed under the name Klebsiella pneumoniae. Its description in RNAcentral is "bacterial SSU rRNA". It matches the Rfam family "Bacterial small subunit ribosomal RNA". Lineage: Bacteria; Pseudomonadati; Pseudomonadota; Gammaproteobacteria; Enterobacterales; Enterobacteriaceae. The record is from RNAcentral.
AGAGUUUGAUCAUGGCUCAGAUUGAACGCUGGCGGCAGGCCUAACACAUGCAAGUCGAGCGGUAGCACAGAGAGCUUGCUCUCGGGUGACGAGCGGCGGACGGGUGAGUAAUGUCUGGGAAACUGCCUGAUGGAGGGGGAUAACUACUGGAAACGGUAGCUAAUACCGCAUAAUGUCGCAAGACCAAAGUGGGGGACCUUCGGGCCUCAUGCCAUCAGAUGUGCCCAGAUGGGAUUAGCUAGUAGGUGGGGUAACGGCUCACCUAGGCGACGAUCCCUAGCUGGUCUGAGAGGAUGACCAGCCACACUGGAACUGAGACACGGUCCAGACUCCUACGGGAGGCAGCAGUGGGGAAUAUUGCACAAUGGGCGCAAGCCUGAUGCAGCCAUGCCGCGUGUGUGAAGAAGGCCUUCGGGUUGUAAAGCACUUUCAGCGGGGAGGAAGGCGAUAAGGUUAAUAACCUUGUCGAUUGACGUUACCCGCAGAAGAAGCACCGGCUAACUCCGUGCCAGCAGCCGCGGUAAUACGGAGGGUGCAAGCGUUAAUCGGAAUUACUGGGCGUAAAGCGCACGCAGGCGGUCUGUCAAGUCGGAUGUGAAAUCCCCGGGCUCAACCUGGGAACUGCAUUCGAAACUGGCAGGCUAGAGUCUUGUAGAGGGGGGGUAGAAUUCCAGGUGUAGCGGUGAAAUGCGUAGAGAUCUGGAGGAAUACCGGUGGCGAAGGCGGCCCCCUGGACAAAGACUGACGCUCAGGUGCGAAAGCGUGGGGAGCAAACAGGAUUAGAUACCCUGGUAGUCCACGCCGUAAACGAUGUCGAUUUGGAGGUUGUGCCCUUGAGGCGUGGCUUCCGGAGCUAACGCGUUAAAUCGACCGCCUGGGGAGUACGGCCGCAAGGUUAAAACUCAAAUGAAUUGACGGGGGCCCGCACAAGCGGUGGAGCAUGUGGUUUAAUUCGAUGCAACGCGAAGAACCUUACCUGGUCUUGACAUCCACAGAACUUUCCAGAGAUGGAUUGGUGCCUUCGGGAACUGUGAGACAGGUGCUGCAUGGCUGUCGUCAGCUCGUGUUGUGAAAUGUUGGGUUAAGUCCCGCAACGAGCGCAACCCUUAUCCUUUGUUGCCAGCGGUCCGGCCGGGAACUCAAAGGAGACUGCCAGUGAUAAACUGGAGGAAGGUGGGGAUGACGUCAAGUCAUCAUGGCCCUUACGACCAGGGCUACACACGUGCUACAAUGGCAUAUACAAAGAGAAGCGACCUCGCGAGAGCAAGCGGACCUCAUAAAGUAUGUCGUAGUCCGGAUUGGAGUCUGCAACUCGACUCCAUGAAGUCGGAAUCGCUAGUAAUCGUAGAUCAGAAUGCUACGGUGAAUACGUUCCCGGGCCUUGUACACACCGCCCGUCACACCAUGGGAGUGGGUUGCAAAAGAAGUAGGUAGCUUAACCUUCGGGAGGGCGCUUACCACUUUGUGAUUCAUGACUGGGGUGAAGUCGUAACAAGGUAACCGUAGGGGAACCUGCGGUUGGAUCACCU